This 723-nucleotide ribosomal RNA is filed under the name uncultured fungus. RNAcentral's name for it is "SSU rRNA". It matches the Rfam family "Eukaryotic small subunit ribosomal RNA", at positions 332 to 1060 of the family's 1831-position model. Lineage: Eukaryota; Fungi. The record is from RNAcentral.
GAUAGAGGCCUACCAUGGUGGUAACGGGUAACGGGGUGUUAGGGCACGACACCGGAGAGGGAGCCUGAGAACCGGCUACCACAUCCAAGGAUGGCAGCAGGCGCGCAAAUUACCCAAUCCCGACACGGGGAGGUAGUGACAAUAAAUAACAAUACGGGGUUCUUUCGGAUCUCGUAAUUGGAAUGAGUACAAUUUAAAUCUCUUAACGAGGAACAAUUGGAGGGCAAGUCUGGUGCCAGCAGCCGCGGUAAUUCCAGCUCCAAUAGCGUAUAUUAAAGUUGUUGCAGUUAAAAAGCUCGUAGUUGAAUUUCGGGGUUAGUAGGUUGGUCAUGCCUCUGGUAUGUACUGGUCUCACUGAUUCCUCCUUCCUUAUGAACCGUAAUGCCAUUAAUUUGGUGUUGCGGGGAAUUUGGACUGUUACUUUGAAAAAAUUAGAGUGUUAAAGCAAGCUAACGCUUGAAUACAUUAGCAUGGAAUAAUGAAAUAGGACGUUCGAUCUUAUUUUGUUGGUUUCUAGGAUUGACGUAAUGAUUAAUAGGGAUAGUUGGGGGCAUUAGUAUUCAAUUGUCAGAGGUGAAAUUCUUGGAUUUAUUGAAGACUAACUACUGCGAAAGCAUUUGCCAAGGAUGUUUUCAUUAAUCAAGAACGAAAGUUAGGGGAUCGAAGACGAUCAGAUACCGUCGUAGUCUUAACCAUAAACUAUGCCGACUAGGGAUCGGAUGA